AACGAACGCUGGCGGCAUGCCUAACACAUGCAAGUCGAACGAGACCUUCGGGUCUAGUGGCGCACGGGGGCGUAAAGCGUGGGAACCUGCCCUUAGGUUCGGAAUAACUCCCCGAAAGGGGUGCUAAUACCGGAUAAUGUCUUCGGACCAAAGAUUUAUCGCGUUUGGAUGGGCCCGCGUUGGAUUAGCUCGUUGGUAGGGUAAAAGCCUACCCAGGCGACGAUCCAUAGCUGGUCUGAGAGGAUGCUCAGCCACACUGGGACUGAGACACGGCCCAGACUCCUACGGGACGCCGCAGUGGGGAAUAUUGGACAGUGGGCGAGAGCCUGAUCCAGCAAUGCCGCGUGAGUGAUGAAGGCCUUAGUGUUGUAAAGCUCUUUUACCCGGGAUGAUAAUGACGGUACCGGGAGAAUAAGCACCGGCUAACUCCGUG
RNAcentral lists this ribosomal RNA (433 nucleotides) under uncultured bacterium. RNAcentral describes it as "partial 16S ribosomal RNA". It matches the Rfam family "Bacterial small subunit ribosomal RNA", at positions 29 to 507 of the family's 1533-position model. The record is from RNAcentral.